This 79-nucleotide transfer RNA is filed under the name Solenopsis geminata. RNAcentral's name for it is "tRNA-Leu". The record is from RNAcentral. Lineage: Eukaryota; Metazoa; Arthropoda; Insecta; Hymenoptera; Formicidae.
AAUUACUUUGGCAGAAUAGUGCAUUAAAUUUAGAAUUUAAAAUUAAAUAUAUAAAAUUAAGGUAGAUAUAUAAGUAAUA